This 484-nucleotide ribosomal RNA is filed under the name uncultured bacterium. Its description in RNAcentral is "partial 16S ribosomal RNA". It matches the Rfam family "Bacterial small subunit ribosomal RNA", at positions 30 to 507 of the family's 1533-position model. The record is from RNAcentral.
AUUGAACGCUGGCGGCAUGCCUAACACAUGCAAGUCGAGCGGACGAAGGGAGCUUGCUCCUGGAUUCAGCGGCGGACGGGUGAGUAAUUCCUAGGAAUCUGCCUGGUAGUGGGGGAUAACGUCCGGAAACGGGCGCUAAUACCGCAUACGUCCUGAGGUAGAAAGUGGGGGAUCUUCGGACCUCACGCUAUCAGAUGAGCCUAGGUCGGAUUAGCUAGUUGGUGGGGUAAAGGCCUACCAAGGCGACGAUCCGUAACUGGUCUGAGAGGAUGAUCAGUCACACUGGAACUGAGACACGGUCCAGACUCCUACGGGAGGCAGCAGUGGGGAAUAUUGGACAAAGGGCGAAAGCCUGAUCCAGCCAUGCCGCGUGUGUGAAGAAGGUCUUCGGAUUGUAAAGCACUUUAAGUUGGGAGGAAGGGCAGUAAGUUAAUACCUUGCUGUUUUGACGUUACCAACAGAAUAAGCACCGGCUAACUUCGUG